AUUGAACGCUGGCGGCAUGCUUUACACAUGCAAGUCGAACGGCAGCGGGGAGGAGCUUGCUUCUCUGCCGGCGAGUGGCGAACGGGUGAGUAAUACAUCGGAACGUGUCGAGAAGAGGGGGAUAACCACCCGAAAGGGUGGCUAAUACCGCAUAAAUUCUGAGGAAGAAAGCUGGGGACCUAGGAAUAGGCCUAGCGCUUUUUGAGCGGCCGAUGUCGGAUUAGCUAGUUGGUGAGGUAAAGGUUCACCAAGGCGAAGAUCUGUAGCGGGUCUGAGAGGAUGAUCCGCCACACUGGGACUGAGACACGGCCCAGACUCCUACGGGAGGCAGCAGUGGGGAAUUUUGGACAAUGGGGGCAACCCUGAUCCAGCCAUGCCGCGUGUAUGAAGAAGGCCUUAGGGUUGUAAAGUACUUUUGUUAGGGAAGAAAAGUCAGCUGUGAAUAAUGGCUGAUACUGACGGUACCUAAAGAAUAAGCACCGGCUAACUACGUG
This 494-nucleotide ribosomal RNA is filed under the name uncultured bacterium. RNAcentral's name for it is "partial 16S ribosomal RNA". It matches the Rfam family "Bacterial small subunit ribosomal RNA", at positions 30 to 507 of the family's 1533-position model. The record is from RNAcentral.